This 482-nucleotide ribosomal RNA is filed under the name uncultured bacterium. RNAcentral describes it as "partial 16S ribosomal RNA". It matches the Rfam family "Bacterial small subunit ribosomal RNA", at positions 30 to 507 of the family's 1533-position model. The record is from RNAcentral.
AUUGAACGCUGGCGGCAUGCCUUACACAUGCAAGUCGAACGGUAACGGGCCUUCGGGUGCCGACGAGUGGCGAACGGGUGAGUAAUACAUCGGAACGUGCCCGAUCGUGGGGGAUAACGAGGCGAAAGCUUUGCUAAUACCGCAUACGAUCUACGGAUGAAAGCAGGGGACCGCAAGGCCUUGCGCGGACGGAGCGGCCGAUGGCAGAUUAGGUAGUUGGUGGGAUAAAAGCUUACCAAGCCGACGAUCUGUAGCUGGGCUGAGAGGAUGAUCAGCCACACUGGGACCGAGACACGGCCCAGACUCCUACGGGAGGCAGCAGUGGGGAAUUUUGGACAAUGGGCGCAAGCCUGAUCCAGCCAUGCCGCGUGCAGGAUGAAGGCCUUCGGGUUGUAAACUGCUUUUGUACGGAACGAAAAGCCUUCUUUUAAUACAGGAGGGUCAUGACGGUACCGUAAGAAUAAGCACCGGCUAACUACGUG